CUUCUUUGGAAUAUCAGGAUUCUACUCUGCCUGCAAACCCAAAGCAGUUAAAUAAAAUUCCAGGCAGUUUUUCUGCUUAAGGGUGUGAUUUCAGGUUGCUCAUUACAGACAGCCUUGCAGUACAAGUUGUUAUCUGGCAUGGAGCAGUGGAAGAAAACAUGAGUUAUCAGAGGAGGAUGAGCCAAGAGAAUGACCUGGUUUUCCAAAGUUGUGCUCAGACAGAGACAUAAACCGUGGCUGAUGAGGUGUCUGAAGAAUGCUAAUGGUAUCAUGCAGCUGGCAUCUCAUGCUAAAGCAAGAAACAGCAGUGACAGCUUGGUACUGCAAUCAGAAGAAAUCAACCCCCAUGUUGCAGGAAGCGUAGCUGUCGUUUUACUAAAGAGAGAGACUGCUGGACCUCUAGACCGCUUUUUACAGCACCGUGGGAACAAGGGACCCUGAACUGUCACUGCCUUCAUCUUCCUUUCCUCAUGUGCCCUGUGCACAGAAGGUCCUGCCCCAAGCAGCUGAGACAUAAAUGAAAUUUGGGCUGCUUCUCUCCUCCAGCUGCUGUGGCUCAGUGCUCCUGCUGGACAGCUACAGUGUCAGCUAUUGCUGGCACCAGCUGCCUCUGCCCGCAAGAGGAGCCUUGAGAGGGGCUGUAUCGCCAAGCUCAAGCGUUCAAAAGCUGAGGUAACCUUCUUCCUACACCAAAAGGUGGACCCUUACUUUUAUUUGUCUUCUGUUGUUUUUAACUUUCAGCAAACAUGUUUCAAACUCUUCUCCACGACCACUGGAGCUAGAGACAUUUUAUUCUCAGCAGGAGAUGACAUUCCUGCAUCAUCACAUAAUUCCUGCACCUGAGGCUUUAAGGGGAAAAAAAAAAAAACCCACAACACGCUGACUACCGCAAGAGUUGGCAGCAGUGGGGGAAGAGGAAGAGGAGCUGGAGGCGGAAAUAGCCUGCUGCUCUCACCUGCGGGAGAGGAACCUGGGGGCCCUGCUGACAGCCAGCGAUAGGGGGGUCCCUCGCGGAGGGGAAGGAAACGGCAGAGCCGGCGGGGAGAAGAGGUAGCCCAUAGGAAGACAUAAAGAGAAGGAAGCACUUUGGGUUAGCGGGGAAGGUCAUCAGGCUGCCUAUACAGCCCUCAGGCAUCUGUCCGAAUCAGCCCUGCGCUCUUGACCACUGUGUUACCUCACCAGGGAGUGUUUUUUGCACUCCAAAACAAGAGGUGGGGAGCAGCGGCUUUCCUGCUCCUGUUUAUCUGCGUCAGAGGGAUAAAGCCUAAUUUUGUCUACAUCCAACUGGGAAUAGUGCAGAAAAGAAAAUGUGAGGGGGAAAGAAAGGAAACGUGCUAGCAGUGCCACACAACUGGGAGUGAGGGGAAUUUAGGGCUGUACAUGUAUUUUGUGCUCUGCUGUGCUUUUAUCUUUGGAGAACAAAGGUUGAAUUGUUACUCCA
This 1441-nucleotide long non-coding RNA is filed under the name Apteryx owenii (little spotted kiwi). RNAcentral describes it as "lncRNA (ENSAOWG00000000424.1)". The record is from RNAcentral. Lineage: Eukaryota; Metazoa; Chordata; Aves; Apterygiformes; Apterygidae.